RNAcentral lists this ribosomal RNA (483 nucleotides) under uncultured bacterium. RNAcentral describes it as "bacterial SSU rRNA". It matches the Rfam family "Bacterial small subunit ribosomal RNA", at positions 30 to 504 of the family's 1533-position model. The record is from RNAcentral.
UGAACGCUGGCGGCAGGCCUAACACAUGCAAGUCGAGCGGUAACAGAUCUAGCUUGCUAGAUGCUGACGAGCGGCGGACGGGUGAGUAACGCGUAGGAAUCUACCCAGUAGCGGGGGAUAAGCCAGAGAAAUUUGGUCUAAUACCGCAUACGCCCUUCGGGGGAAAGUAGGGGAUCUUCGGACCUUACACUAUUGGAUGAGCCUGCGUGAGAUUAGCUAGUUGGUGAGGUAAUGGCUCACCAAGGCGACGAUCUCUAGCUGUUCUGAGAGGAUGAUCAGCCACACUGGAACUGAGACACGGUCCAGACUCCUACGGGAGGCAGCAGUGGGGAAUAUUGCACAAUGGGCGCAAGCCUGAUGCAGCCAUGCCGCGUGUGUGAAGAAGGCCCUAGGGUUGUAAAGCACUUUCAGUCGUGAGGAAAGGUUAGUAGUUAAUAACUGCUAGCUGUGACGUUAGCGACAAAAGAAGGACCGGCUAACUCC